Molecule: long non-coding RNA, 831 nt
Organism: Loxodonta africana (African savanna elephant)
Lineage: Eukaryota; Metazoa; Chordata; Mammalia; Proboscidea; Elephantidae
Exons: 3
Source: RefSeq, a predicted model, not a curated record
CCUCCGCGGCGGGUGCGCGCGCUCGGCGGGGGAAGCGGGUCACGGGGGGCUGGCCGCCGGCACAGAUGGGAUGUGCAGUUAGGCGCGGCACCCCUCUGCGUUUCUUUUCGCUGCUCCCGGGACAAGAGGUUUUGGAGGGGUCUGAGAAGACGGCGGAGAGGCCAGGGAUGGGACUUGAAAUACAGUGAGUUCCCAGGGAGUUACUUCAUAUGUAUGUGAAAACCAGACUAUGAAUAAGGAAGGCUGAAGAAGAACUGAUGCCUUUGAAUUAUGGCAUUGGUGAAGAAUAUUGAAUGUACGAGAAGAAUGAACAAGUCUGUCUUGGAAGAAGUACAGCCAGAAUUCUCCUUGGAAGCGAGGAUGUACUGAGGAAGUCAGCACAACUUGACCAAGGCAAAGUCAUAGAAGCUUCAUAUAUACAUCCGAACUCCUUGAAGGACUGAAUUACUGGGCUGAGGAUUGGGGAACAUGGCCUCAGGGGACAUCUUGCUCAACUGGCAUAACACAGUUUGUAAAGAAAAUGUUUUACAUCUUACUUUGGUAAGUAGCAUCUGGGGUCUUAAAAGCUUGCGAGCAGCCAUCUAAGAUACUUCACCCUGUCUGGAGCAAGGGUGAAUGAAGAAAACCAAAGACACAAAGGAAAGAUUAAUCCAAAGAACUAGUGGACCACAACCACCACAGACUCCACCAGACUGAGUCCAACACAAUUAGAUGGUACCCAGCUACCACCACUGACUGCUUUGACAGGAAUCACAAUAGAGGGUCCUGGACAGAGCUAGAAAAAAAAUAUAGGACAAAAUUCUUACUCACACACACACAAAAAAAAAACCA